Molecule: long non-coding RNA, 2349 nt
Organism: Oreochromis aureus
Lineage: Eukaryota; Metazoa; Chordata; Actinopteri; Cichliformes; Cichlidae
Exons: 2
Source: RefSeq, a predicted model, not a curated record
GAUUGUUUGAGUGCUAUUUAUAACAAAAUAUAAUGAAAUAAAGUGAAAUAAGUAAGGAAUUAUUUCUUUUUUUAAUGUAGUAAACAGAAUAUAAAUAGAGUCUUAAGCUGAAGCUGAAUUUUGAUAAAAGCUGCAGCUGGCAAUGGCCAUUUGACUUUUUAAUGAAGUGGGAGGCUGCCAUGUUAAAAUGUGAUGGGCCAGACUGAACUGUCUUAUAAUCAGUCACCCAAACUCUUGCCCCGAGGCUAAAAGUCAAAGGAUCGCUGAGACCUGAUGUAAUACUUGUGUGAUUCUCCCCUUUGAAAUUUCAAACUCCAGUUUGUGAACAAAGUCCUGUCUAUCUUCUGAAUAGGAAUCUCCGACCACUGACCAAACUCCAUUUGUAACCACUGCCUAUUUGUACCUUCUCCUCAAUGACUACAUUUCAUUUCCCCAAGUCCGAUCUCAAAGGCAGGCGGCAGGGAAGCAGCAUAAUAAAAUCAAAAUGCAGAAACCAGCAGCUGGGAGGAAAAAAGACGAACGUGGUGGCCUGGAAGAGUUAAUAAGAUGUGGAAUAUAAACUCUCCGGGGACUUAUUUUGCUUCUUUCAAAGAGAGCUUCACCUUAGUGGAAAAGCAAGGCAUAACCAGGAAUGUGUUGAUGUUGAUAAGAGGAAAACAGAAGGAAACAAUGUGCUGGCUGCAGCAGAUUUAAGGCCGGCAGAAAAAGCCUGCUGCAGUAGAUGGAGGAGAUAGGGGCUUUACCUCGAAGAUUUUAACGCACGCACAGCAGGAAAAAACAACUACAACUAAGUUUAUGUGUCUUUUACCUUUACCCGGGUUGGUAAAGUGGAGGAUUCCAUCCUGGCCAUACAUCCCUGGGAAAGCUGAGCUCUGACAGUGCGCCGGCCAGCUGUGUGAAGGCCCAUGAGCCUCGUCGCCUCUCCCAGGCCCGGCUAGGCUGAGGCAGGCUGGGAGGAAAAGCAGCUACUGGAUAGUGUUGUUUGCUGGGGCCGCCAGGCCGACUGUAAGGGCCCAAGGCACAUGGGGAUAAUCCCCUAAUGCCUGUCACAAUGAGAUUUUAUUGGAGACUUGAACACUCGGAUUAUUAGUGUCAAGAGAACAGUGUGUAAUACCUGCUCUCCAAACAGGUUGCUAAUUGGGCUUUCUGCCUCUGUUAAAUACCCAAGAGGCACACUGAGAUUUGUUAAAUGUCACAUUUGAUGUCAGCACAGAUUACGUUUCAUUUCAUUAGCUGAGUGGUUCUUUCACCGGCUAAUGUAACUUUAACAUAAUGCAAGCUUCAGCUAUUUAUAUUAUUUCACUAUACAAAUUCUUUUAAGGGUCAUGUCCCAGCAUAAGGAAAGAACCUUACAAACUAGCUACAGGGAAAUAUCAACACAACGUUUUAAAAUGAGGUAACUGAUUUAUCAAAGUGAUAAAAGGAAUGGAAAAGAAAACAAAUAUUUCAUGGUGGCAAAAGUGGACAUUAGAUAAGCCUUGCUAAAAAGGGCUUUUCAUUUCAUCACAUUAUGGCUCCUUAUGGAGAAAGCCCACAAUAACUCAGUAAUAGCUUAGUGAUUUUAGCUGUCAUUUGAGUCAUAAUCUGACUCAGACCUCGUAAGUCUUCCUGUGCUGUUAAAUCUUGCACGUAUUACAUAAUAUGCAAAUGCUGCAGGUUAUUUCUUGGUUAUGUCUGACUGAAGCUGUGAGGAACAUUAAAGCCAAAGUGACACAAGUCUGAAUGAUAGAAUGCCAUCAUUUGACCAAGAGCACUUCAGUUUAUGUAAUUUAGUUUGAUUCCUCCAGACAGUCUUACCACAUGGGAAAAGUAGGCAUGACUUUUGAUUUUUAAGAGCGUAUGAGUAUCUGUAAAAGCCCCACAUUUGCAAGUGAGAAGGCCUAGAUGUAAAUAUAAAUGGACAGAGGUGGAGCCAGAGAGUUUUUAUAGGGGUGGCCAGGCAGACAUGUUAACAAUUUCUUUCCCCCAGGCAUGUCACCGUGGAUCAAAUGUUCAGGUUUGGUCACUUAUUUUUAACAUUUGCUUAUAUGGGCAUACAAUAAACUAUUUAUUGUUUUUGUGUAUUCAUAUUUAUUAUUAUGUGACAAUAAUCUAAAUAGUGGCUGGUUCUUGUUAAUAUGUGUGAGAACAUCAGCUAGAGAAAUGGUAACACAGUUUGAACUUGAAAAACAGUUUGUAACAAUAUGAUGUAACUCGAUGUAACUGUUAAUAUGAAUGUGGCUACAGUACUAGACAAUACUAAUCUUCCAGUGUUUUGAGAGAGUAUGUUAGCUCUACAUGUAUAAACUGUUAAAAUGAUUGCUUCAAACAAUACUUUCACUUUGAAAUAAAUACUGACCAGUAAAUGCA